This 252-nucleotide ribosomal RNA is filed under the name uncultured bacterium. RNAcentral describes it as "partial 16S ribosomal RNA". It matches the Rfam family "Bacterial small subunit ribosomal RNA", at positions 524 to 776 of the family's 1533-position model. The record is from RNAcentral.
UACAGAGGGUGCAAGCGUUAAUCGGAAUUACUGGGCGUAAAGCGUGCGUAGACGGUUAUGUAAGUCGGGUGUGAAAGCCCCGGGCUCAACCUGGGAAUUGCAUUCGAGACUGCAUAGCUAGGGUGCGGAAGAGGGAAGCGGAAUUUCCGGUGUAGCGGUGAAUGCGUAGAUAUCGGAAGGAACACCAGUGGCGAAAGCGGCUUCCUGGUCCAGCACCGACGUUCAGGCACGAAAGCGUGGGGAGCAAACAGG